RNAcentral lists this ribosomal RNA (165 nucleotides) under uncultured bacterium. RNAcentral's name for it is "partial 16S ribosomal RNA". The stretch from base 35 to 165 matches the Rfam family "Bacterial small subunit ribosomal RNA", at positions 401 to 524 of the family's 1533-position model. The record is from RNAcentral.
GGACGAAUGGGGUGAAUCGAGAGGAGCAUGCCGCGUGCAGGACGAAGGCCUUCGGGUUGUAAACUGCUUUUGUACAGAACGAAAAGCCUUGGGUGAAUACCCUGAGGACAUGACGGUACUGUAAGAAUAAGCACCGGCUAACUACGUGCCAGCAGCCGCGGUAAU